This 927-nucleotide ribosomal RNA is filed under the name uncultured Bacillota bacterium. RNAcentral describes it as "bacterial SSU rRNA". It matches the Rfam family "Bacterial small subunit ribosomal RNA", at positions 58 to 1018 of the family's 1533-position model. The record is from RNAcentral. Lineage: Bacteria; Bacillati; Bacillota.
CAAGUCGAACGAGAAAGUCCGCAAGGAUGAGUAAAGUGGCGUACGGGUGAGUAACACGUGGAUAAUCUACCCUCUAGUGGGGAAUACCGCUGGGAAACCGGCGACAAUACCGCAUAAGCUCGAGAGAGGAAAGCAGCAAUGCGCUGGAGGAGGAGUCCGCGGCUGAUUAGCUAGUUGGUGAGGUAAUGGCUCACCAAGGCUCAGAUCAGUAGCCGGCCUGAGAGGGCACACGGCCACACUGGCACUGAAACACGGGCCAGACUCCUACGGGAGGCAGCAGUGGGGAAUCUUGCACAAUGGGGGAAACCCUGAUGCAGCGACGCCGCGUGAGCGAUGAAGCCCUUCGGGGUGUAAAGCUCUUUCGGCAGGGAAGAUGAUGACGGUACCUGCAGAAGCAGCUGCGGCUAACUACGUGCCAGCAGCCGCGGUAAUACGUAGGCAGCAAGCGUUGUUCGGAGUUACUGGGCGUAAAGGGUGUGUAGGCGGUUGGAUAAGUGUGGUGUGAAAUCUCCCGGCUCAACUGGGAGGGUGCGCUACAAACUGUCUGACUAGAGUGCGGGAUGGGAAAGUGGAAUUCCUGGUGUAGCGGUGAAAUGCGUAGAUAUCAGGAGGAACACCGGUGGUGUAGACGGCUUUCUGGACCGUAACUGACGCUGAGACACGAAAGCGUGGGUAGCAAACAGGAUUAGAUACCCUGGUAGUCCACGCCCUAAACGAUGCAUAUUUGGUGUGGGUCAUUCAUUUGAUCCGUGCCGGAGCUAACGCGUUAAAUAUGCCGCCUGGGGAGUACAGUCGCAAGGCUGAAACUCAAAGGAAUUGACGGGGGCCCGCACAAGCGGUGGAGCAUGUGGUUCAAUUCGACGCAACGCGAAGAACCUUACCUAGGCUCGAACGGCUUCGGACAAUCCUUGGAAACAGGGACUUCCC